Neopsephotus bourkii (Bourke's parrot) is the source of this 590-nucleotide long non-coding RNA. RefSeq lists it as uncharacterized. NCBI's taxonomy places the organism in Eukaryota, Metazoa, Chordata, Aves, Psittaciformes, Psittacidae. The record is from RefSeq and is a predicted model, not a curated record. The transcript has 3 exons.
AGACGUUUUCAUCAAUGUAAUUCCCUGGCUUCAGAUCGGCUGGGGUUGUUGGGUCUUCCUAUUCCACCUUUCCACCUCCUAUUGGCACCCAGGGUAUUUUUACUUGAUGCUCUGUAAGUGAAAAGUCCCGUGUCCCUCCCAUCCAAAUGCCUGUGAACUGAGGGAAUUCACAAGUUUUCUUUUUUCCCCUUGUUGAGAAAAAAUGCCUGACGAGGCUAAUGAACAUAGUGCUACAUGUGGUUAAUAAUUAAUGAAAAAGUGCAAGGCAAGCACAGAUAGCUACUGGAAAAGCCCCAGAAAUUUCUUGAGAUUAAAAUUCUUUAGCUGCUUCUGGUGACUGCUUCCUCACAGGACACAAGAAUAUAAGGAAAAUACAGAAAAUUCCUGUUUCCAGAGUAUCUGGAAAAGAAGUGAAAUCUCAAAACAGGUUUAGACUGGUGUCUUGUUGACAGAAACUGAAAAUCUAUCCUAGAAUUCAGCAGAAGCUAUAAGCAGAAAAAAGACCAAGCGAUCCACAGGAGCUUCUGUGUCCUAUUGAUUUGGAGAAAUCUCCAGGAGCUCACCAACAAAGAUUUAAGUUGACAAGCAGG